Molecule: long non-coding RNA, 1528 nt
Filed under: Helianthus annuus (common sunflower)
Lineage: Eukaryota; Viridiplantae; Streptophyta; Magnoliopsida; Asterales; Asteraceae
Description: hypothetical non coding rna
Source: RNAcentral
UUAAAGCCACCACCAUCUACUUCACUGCCCCAAGUAUGCUCAAACUUUGACCUCAUCUCACACGUACUGUUUCUUUACGCAAAACCCGGGCGUCACCAUGUUGCAUGGGAAGUGUUCGACGUAAUGCCUGAGAGAAAUGACGUUGUUCGAAAUACCCCCAACAAGACUUCUUUCUUCUUCACUUUAACAACCCCCAAAUCUUCAGGUAACAUCUACAGCUAUAUAUAACUUGAAGACACUUUAGGAGCUUGAAAAGCCUGAUCGUGGGAGUUACUUGCAGGAGUUGAGAAAGAAAUUAAAUAUGGGGGAUGGCUCAAUGAUCUGAAGCAAUUCGGCAAGAAGAACAGGUAACAUAGAGUUGAAUUGGUUUAAAUGGUCAAAGUAAGUGCUCCUUAUGCCAAAUAUUAUUCUAAUGAGACUUGCUAUUUAAAAUUCAUCUGGAUGAUAUGAGAUACUGGAUUCAAAUGUUCAAAUUAAAGCCCUAGCUACACUUUCUUGCUGAUCUUUGUAAGUGAAGAUAAGAUUUCGUUCAUGUCGGGUCGAUCAUCUGGAUCCGGUCGAGUGCAGCAUAAAGCCAACUGAAGAAUCUGUUCUACAACACUCUGUUUUGUGUUGAAGUCGGAAGCCAAAUCAGGAUCUACAACUUCAAUCAGCUCAUUCAUUUCUUUUGAAAUUGCUUGUUCUAUCAACUGUGGCAAAGUGAUGUGGAUUCCGUUGUCUUCGAUUUUUUUGCAUGUGCAGAUGCUAAAGGCGAAGAGAACAUGUUCUUGGACAAGCUUCGGAAUGAAGGCACGACGUGAAGGCACUUAAGAGAUAAAAAUGAUCGAGUUGCCGCUGACCAUUACCAACACCACAAGGAUCUCAAGCAUUGAAGUCAAAAGAUUCACAAGCAUAAUCAAAGGGGGAGUUUAUUGACACACUACCUAAAUGAAAAGGGAGUUUGUUGAUACACUUUCUACUUACGACGCGUGAAGACUUUGAAGAUCCUCCGACGUGGAAGAUAUGGAAGUUGAACCUCACGAGUAGCGUCCAAGGGGGAGUUUGUUGAUACAUAUUAUGUGGACACGACUCGGUUCGGUUCGACUCGGUUCGGUUCGACCCGGUUAGGUUCGGCUCAAGCCCGACGUCACGACAUUCCUCCGUCGUGCGUCCCAGAGUUCGACACGCGAAGCACGGAGCGCCGCGAGCCGGUUCCCGCCGCCACAUCAUCAUGACAUCAUCAUGAUGAUGUCAUGAUGAUGUCAUACCCUUUGACCAAAUGCAUUUUGCAAUGGCUGGCAUGGAAUUUACGUAAAGAAUGGUUGUGAUUGGGCCAUUUUUUGUGGGCUGAUACAACAUUGGGCCGAAACCCAUAUUAAACAACAUGUGAAGAAAACAUAAAAAAUGAAAUGAAGUGAUUUCGGAAAAUAGAACCAGAGGAGGAGGGCACAAGGAAGAACACAUACCCGAGAGAACUAGUGAGAGUUUGCAAAGAUUAAUUUGUAAACAUUGAUUUGUAACCGUUUCAAGUAUUAAUACAUUGGUGUUA